AUCUUCAUAAUUUUUUUUGCGGUGUCGUCUUUCUCAAAAACCCUUGCAACUUCGGAAAUCACCGUCGCCGUCUCUAUCUCUCAAAACCUCUCAAUUUUGCAUCGUUGUCUCCCUCCGCCGUCCCCCUCUCGCAAACUCUCCCUCACAAUUUUGAGUCGACUUUCCCUAUCCCUUGCGAACACUCCAGCCGAAGGUGAAACGGUUUACAACCUUGAAUUUUCACAACUACACAGCCAAAGGUGAAUCGCUCCAGCCGAGGUUCCUCAAGUUGUUGGCCUCUCUCUCGGAGACGCUUCAGUCGCCAUUUGAAGGAGACCAAACCGUCUGAUGCUUCUCCUCCCUCCUAUGUCCAUUUUGCAUCAUCGUCAAUUCGUUCGAUUGUUUGAUUAUUUGAAUCAAUUCGGUUCACUUUCUUCAAAUUUGUAAGUAAUUAAAGAAUCCGUGGACCAUCGAUCAAGCUCAUUUAUUCGCCAGUUUGAUUAGAUUAUAAAGUCACACAUACAUGUAAUAUUAUAGUUAAUUUAUCUUUUGGAUUAUUGUAGAACUUUUACCAACAAUGUAAUUACAUUUUUUAUUAUCAAUAUAAAAAUCUUUCUAA
Long non-coding RNA from Cucumis melo (muskmelon), 598 nucleotides. RefSeq lists it as uncharacterized. The transcript has 2 exons. Lineage: Eukaryota; Viridiplantae; Streptophyta; Magnoliopsida; Cucurbitales; Cucurbitaceae. The record is from RefSeq and is a predicted model, not a curated record.